GGAGAGAUGCCAGAGUGGUCGAAUGGACCGCACUCGAAAUGCGGCAUACGGGUAACCGUAUCCAGGGUUCGAAUCCCUGUCUCUCCG
Molecule: transfer RNA, 87 nt
Filed under: Bacteroidaceae bacterium
Lineage: Bacteria; Pseudomonadati; Bacteroidota; Bacteroidia; Bacteroidales; Bacteroidaceae
Description: tRNA-Ser
Rfam family: tRNA
About the family: Transfer RNA (tRNA) molecules are approximately 80 nucleotides in length.
Source: RNAcentral